GACGAACGCUGGCGGCGUGCUUAACACAUGCAAGUCGAGCGGUAAGGCCCUUUCGGGGGUACACGAGCGGCGAACGGGUGAGUAACACGUGGGUGACCUGCCCUCAGCUCUGGGAUAAGCCUGGGAAACCGGGCCUAAUACUGGAUAUGACUCCAUGACGCAUGUUGUGGGGUGGAAAGCCUUGUGCGGCUGAGGAUGGGCCCGCGGCCUAUCAGCUUGUUGGUGGGGUGANGGCCUACCAAGGCGACGACGGGUAGCCGGCCUGAGAGGGCGACCGGCCACACUGGGACUGAGACACGGCCCAGACUCCUACGGGAGGCAGCAGUGGGGAAUCUUGCGCAAUGGGCGAAAGCCUGACGCAGCGACGCCGCGUGAGGGAUGACGGCCUGG
Molecule: ribosomal RNA, 390 nt
Filed under: uncultured bacterium
Lineage: Bacteria
Description: bacterial SSU rRNA
Rfam family: Bacterial small subunit ribosomal RNA
Source: RNAcentral